UAGGUACACUGGAGAGUCAACUCUUGCUCCAAAACCUUAAAGUUCAGAUAGGUGGAAGAGGAAACUGAUGAGAGAUAUCACCAAGGGAAGUAUUGACUUUAUAAGCUUAGAGAAGAUCCUGCUCUUCUCAGUGCUCCUGCAGUGUGAUGCCUGAACCUUGUACAUAAACACUGUAUUUGAAGCCAAUGGGACUGUUUUCCCUAAAAAAAAGAGUCUGCAUCCAGGCUGUAAGCAGCCAGUUUGUAUGUAGAAUGUACUUCCAAUUAGUUCCUUCUCUAUAGGAGAUGAAGACAGGGAGCAGUUCUGCAGGGGAGAACAUUUACUGCUAAAUGAGGUAGGUGGGCCUUUUGUCUUGGGCAAGUGUAAGGGUCUAAAUGUUGCUUGGCUUGCAUAUCUUUUGUAAAAUAGCUUUUUCAGACUAGAGAGGAAACACUACUUGGACUCCCUGUUAAUAAGUAGCCCAAAUGCUGGUAAGGUUCUUUGGAGUCAGUGGACUUUCUGGCAUGAUAGAAGCAGUCUGUAGAGCUGUUUGGGUCUAACUUAGGCAUGACAUGCAGGAGUGGAGCCUGCCAAGGCUUCAAUACUCUGUUUUCUCGGAGUAAAGAUUUUGAUUUUCGGACUCAAGAUUGUGGCUUGCCUGAAUGGAUUCUGCAGUUAAGUCCUAGCUUUUGUUUAUUCUGUCAUUAACUCUUCAUUUGAUUUUCUCAUGCUUCUGGAGGACAUCUGCCCAUGGAGCUGGUUUGGGGAUGUCUUUUCUGGGCUAAAACCUUCUGGAGCCAGAUCUUAAUAUGAGCUUGCCUGCAGUGAAAUUUGCUCAGCUUCACCUAGCAAAGCCAAUGUGCCAGACUUUCAAAUUAAGGCUACUUCCAGUAGUGGGCAGAUGCAGCUUUGAAAGAGAGAAAUGCUUCAGGAUAGACCCGUUGUCAUUGGAGGUAGAGAUAUACUAAAGAAGUUGCAAGAACAAAUUACACCUGUAGCCAGAAAAAUUCAAGUACAUAUCCCUGAGGAUGAAGCCAUAGAGGCCCAGGUCUUCGUGUUACAGGAAUCACCUCCUGAAUCUGAAAUACCCGAGGAAGUAGACAACAUGGUAAAGCUAUUGUUAUGAGCUGGAGGAACCUCAGGAUGAUCACGGUGGACCAAAUGUGUGAUUGUACAAUUGUAGCUGAACUCCAGACUGGUCAGAAAAAAAAAAAAACAUUUGAACUGUUCGUGCAUGAAAGGCUGCAUAAUGCCCUGGGAGUCCUGGCACAGAGACUGAGAUUAUUGAGAGCAUUGGAACUAUUAAAAGAAAUUUUUUAAAAAAGAGUCAAUAUAUGGAAUGAUUCAAAAUUUGCAUUUGGAGUUGUACAUUGCCAUGGAGUAAUAUGGAAGAGAAGAGGACUGCUAUCCUACCAGGGAUCACAAAUAAAAUAUGGACCCAUUAUUAUAGAGCUACUAGAAAGUGUACAGCCUCCUCAGAAAGUAGCCAUAAUGCAUCGCAAAGCACAUCAGUUCAGUAACACUCCAGUGAAUUACAGCAGCUGACUUGCCAAUAGAGCUGCUGAAGCAGCCACAGAAGGAACUCUUUUAUUAGUAAUCCUGGACAAAUAUAAAUAACUAGGGAAAGAAGUCCCACGUUAUCAAGCUAAAGAUGAGAGACUGGCAACAUUACGGACAGUGGUUAAAGAUGACAAAGGAUAGUAGAUAACUCCAGAUAAACAGACAAUUAUCCCUCAAUCUCUUAUGAAUAAAUGGCCAGAAGAUUAUCAUUGAUUGACACAAUGGGGAAUAGAGACAAUGAUAGAAAGCAUGAGACACCAAGUUUUAAGUGUGCGAAUGGCAGGAAUCAUAAAGAAUAUUGUGAAAAGAUAUGAACUCUGUUUGAAAAACAAUCUCCAUCAACCUAAAUGACCUCCACUCAAAACAGCUAAGAAAGGAAACCAUCCAGGAGUUUAUUGGCAGAUGGAUUUUUGUGAAUCACUGCGGUGAUGUGAGCACAGGUAUGUCGUUGUAUGUGCACCUUUACUCCUGGAUGGACUUGUACACCGGUACCAACCUGCAGAUUGAGUGUACCUGAAGACAGGGUCAGAUAAGGAGAAGUGGAGAGGACCCUUCCAGACUUUACUCACCACCCAUGCAGCAGUCAGACUCAAGGGAAUCAGCCUAUGGAUUCACUGCAGUAGAGUCAAGCAGGUUUCUCAUAACAAUAAGUAAUGCAUUUAUUAACGGUGAGGGAAUGAAUGUGAAAGUGAAAAUUUGGUUUUAACAUUAAUACAAGGGUUUGGUAGGAUGUGCAAUGUCACUAGCAUCUGCGUAAUCAUAAUUAUAAGAGGUAUAGGACUGUAUAAGAUGUAUUAAAAGAUAUUUUGAAAGAAAUAUGUGGAAGUAAUUAGAAGAACUAACUAUUUACUUCCCAAGGAGGAAAUUGAUACCUGGCAAUUAAUUAACCACAGGCCCCUUGCAAGGACCCCAUACUAACACAGAGCGUGUGCAGUAUUAGAUUUUAACAUAUAUAGUAAUUCUUGUAAUAGGCAGGCACUCUGUGGAAAAUGUAUGAAUAUUCACACAUGUUCAGUGUAUCUGUGUAUAUCUAUCAAUGUAUCUAUUCAAUCAAUCUGUGUGCUUUUAGCUCCUGGCUUUGCACGUUAGGCGGAGCAAUCCCCUGUGCAUCCAGUAACACAAUAACAAUAUUGUCACAAUAACAAAUGCCUGCUUCUUAAUGCUACAUUAGCAUUAAUGAGUUUUGUUCCUGAUUUCAGUGGCAGAAUUGGUGUUAUUUCUUUUUUUUUUCUUUUUUUUUUUUUCCCCCACCAAGUAUGAGGGCAAGACAUUAUGUGGGUGUAUGAGGUAUCUUUAGAUAUGCAGUGAGACAACUCAGGCACUGGGGAAAACUCAUCUCUGGAUACUGUCUCUGUCUCCCAUUUUAUUUAAGUUUCUUUCAGCUGCUGCCAUGAGCCCAGGAUAUCUCUUUUCAGCUGGCAGGAGCUGACAUAGCAGAAAUAGCUAUCAAAUAUGAUAUAGGUUCUCCCUUUGAAUGCUCCUUCUUGCACCAUUCUUGGUACAGUUUAGGGUACCAGUAGAAGAAAUGAAGAAAGCAGACAUCAAAGAUACUGCACAAGGUCAGUCAGCACCGAGAAGAGCCAACCGUCCUUCUAUAUCUGAUGCAAAGUGCCACAUCUUAGCUUUGUUUUCUUUUUCAAAAACUCUACUGGAAUUUGAAGAGGUUUUAAAACACCAGUACAUGAUUUGAAUAAUUGUAUGCUCCAAGGAAUGUAUGCCACCCAGAACAACUGGUCUGUCCCAGAGAAAUAGUACAACACUUCCGAAACGGAAGAAAAGCCUGACUUCUACUGACUUCAGUCUUCUUUUGCAAGUGGGACUUCCCACUGAGAAUCUAAAUAUGCAUCAGAUGUCUAAAAACAGUAAAUCAUUUAAGGGUUUUAACUGGGAAAAUAGUUCAGCAGCCCUUAUGAAUUAUUACUUUUUCACAUUAUUGCAAUUAAAAAUCCUCAUUUUCUCAGUGUUUGCAUAAGCAAAGUGGUUUGCCUACGGUGAAUGCAGCUCCACUGAAGGAUGUGAUACCUACUCUGCAUUGGUGCUCUCUGUUCCAAUGGGUGCAACUCUGCCAAUACUGCAGAAAUUUGAGGAUGCUUUUCUCUGAAGCAGUAGUGUUUAAAAUUUCAUCCUGUCCAUUAGAUUGCUCCAGAAUUAGCCUUGUAAGUACAUCUGAGUUCUGUGGCAUCAUGUUGCACUAAAAGCCAGUCUCUGAGAUGAGGGACUCAGGCAGUUUAUUUAUAGUUCAGAAGGUCAAAUAGUUGCCUUAAUUGGAAAACACCACUCACCAGUCUCUGAGCGUAUUGAUGUACUUUGCAUUCGAUGCCAUUAGUUACUUGUGUGAGUUUCUAAUAUCACCUUUGUUAAUAAGAUACAUUCUCCAUAAUGGGCUGCUUGCAGGUUCCAAGAGCCAUUUAUAUGCUAAGUUUGACAAGUUAGAUGAUGCUAAACCCAUACUGAAAGCAAUAGCUGUCAGAACUGUACCUGGGUGCCAGGCAGAUGUCUGUGACCUUCAAACUGUUUUGGGAUGGGAUGUGCUAAAUCCCGUCUGUAUGGUAUGUGACCAGGCAGCAAAGGUAUUUCUUCAAAUAUAUCUUGAAUUCCUGCCAGAAAAGUUGUAUAUAAACCUCACAGCAAAAGUUUGAUGGACUUGGCUUGUAGUAGAAGGAAGGUGAAAUAAAGUCACAGAAUCACAGAAGUUGGAAGGGACCUCAAGAGAUCAUUGAGUCCAACCCGCUGCCAAAGCAGGUGCCCUACAACAGGUCACACAGGUUGGUGUCCAGACAGGACUUGAAUAUCUCCAGAGAAGGAGAAGGCAAGGUGCUCCCAACAUGUCUGAAUUAAAGCAUACGAUAGCAAACACACUGAGUGAUUUGAGAGACCUGAAGAUCUCUCAUCCAUAGAGAUGCAGAUUAGGGAAAAAAAAACCACAAAAACAAACCUCUUCUCAACGCAAAGGAAACUAUCUUAAAGAAGUCUAAAAAAUUCCUCUUGAUUUCACUUCUGCUGUUCCCACACUUUCCCUUGCCUACUAUUGUUGCUGAAGGUCAUGUCAAGUUUUACAUGUAGUAUGGCCCAGUAGACACAUGAUCUUAACCAUAGGAGGAAGGCAAAAUGUUAAUGUUCAUUGUGUGGAUUUAUGUAGGAAGGGAGCAAGGAAGAGGAUUAAUAUGGAGGUGGCUAAUGCUGGGACUACUCCAAGUUUCUCUGGAAUCGAGCUCAGGAUGGCAUAUACAAAUAGGAAUCACACCUCUGGUUUGAUGUGAGGGGGUGUGACUAGUGAAGUUGCUGAUGUGAAGUUUUCUGGGUCCCUUAAGAGGUUAGGGGAGAAUAAGGCUAAUAUUAGGAAGGGGAUAAAGGCAUGGGCUGAGAUGUGAAGGAAAGCUAGUUGUGAGAGAUCAAGUCCAGUGGUGACUAUUAUUAAGCUUAGCUGGCUGGAGGUGAACCUGAGGAUGUCUUUUAAUGAGAAGUAGUGAUAGAAGGGAUGGGUUGGGAGGUGAAUUAGGGAAUUGCUGACUAUUUUUAGUAGGGGAUGGGAUUUUCAGAUGUUGAGGGCCAUUAUUUUAUUAUCUAUGGGCUGAUAGAUUAAUUAUUAACAUUGAUAGAGUGAAGAAUCCUCAGUAGGUUUUGAUUAAGCCUGUGGAAUGUAGUUGUGAUUUUGCUUGCUGUCAGGUGGAGGUUAGCAAAGCCUUUGGGGCCUAUUUUCUUGUGUCAGGAUAUAUCGAUUAGGUGAAAGGCAAUUUUUUGUCCUUUAUUUAGUAGGUCUGUACAGCUGGAUCAGAGCAUUAGGGAGCUUAAAGUAGCCUAAGGAGGAGAAGUUUCUAAGGGUACUUUGUUUUAAGGGGAAGGUAAAGGUGUGGGUUAUAUUUGAAGUUCUAGAACUAGAAUAAUUCUGAGAAUUGUGAGCACAUAUAUAUGUAUUUUUAUAUAUAUAUAUAUAUGUAUAUAUAAACACUAAUAACCCAAUGAAACAUCCUACCAGUCCAAAUCACAUCCAUCCAAAACUCUAUCAUUUAUCAUAAACUUCAUAAUCCCCCUAACCUUAAAAAUAGACCCAUGCUCAAUACUAUUUUUCCAAUUGCAUAAUUUGUAACUUGAUCAAUCCUGGAAUUUGUAACAUGAUGCAUAGCCUCAGAACCAUGUAUCAAGAAAUUCUUCACCUAUCUUCUUUACGUCCGAAUUGCCAUACUAACCAUUGCAAACAGCAUAUUCCUUCUUUUGUAGGCUGAGAGGAAUUAUGUCAUUCCUAUUCAUUGGCUGAUGACAAUGUCAAGCCAAAACUAACACAGCAGCAUUAAAAGCUGUAGUCUACCACCAGAUUGAAGAUAUAUAAGGCAAUGUAAUAUAACACAAAAUAGAGAUAAGCAUGUGAGUUUUUAACACUUGAAUUCAGUACUGUGCAGUACAAAGUACAAAGGAUCUAAGUAGAGUAAAUUUAAAUUUAAGAAGGUAAGCAGUUUUAGUUAGUUUAAAAUGGCAGGCUGGAGUAUUUAUUUGAUAAAAAGUCAUUCAAGUAUUUGACAGAAAGUCAUAGAAAUGAAAAAGCUAGACAUAACUGUUUUUAAAACAGCAUAACAACAUAAAAUGGGAAGAAGAGAGACUGAGAUUGUACUAUUAAUGUUUUCAUGAAGAAACAAAACACCAGACUUAAACAAGCAAACUCUAGUGGAGGAAAUAGAAACCCUAUUUUCUGCGGAGUGUGCAGUGAGACAUAAUGGCUGUAUAACUUCUAAAAGUUUAUAGUUUAGUGGUGCAGGCUCAGAAUAAAAGAAUUCAAUAGCAAAAUGAGUCAACACUUAAACCUAAAUUGUAAUUUAUAAGGGACUCUCUUCUCACGCAAAUCAAAUUUGGAAGCAGAAUAAUGUCUUCUGAUAGCGAGGCAGUAUUUGCUGAAUGUUCUGGGUGGCAGUUUGCAAUACACAGACAUUUGAAAUUACAUUUAUAAAAUAAAUGUUCAAUUCAAAACAAUUUUUAGCCUAUUUGCUGACACAUAAUACAAAAUUGUUGCUACACUAUAUAUUUCUUCAUAUAAGGCAUUGCAACACGCAGACAGUAAUGAAAAAUGGAGGCAACAGAGUUCUUGCAAAUGAAAGCAAGAAUGUAACUCUGUUCUUCCUGCUUCCCACCAGGGAAUGGUGGCUUCCAAAACACUGGAAAACAAGGCAGUUGGUGAGAAAGUCUCAGAAUUGACUCCAUGUGUUAAAAAAAGAAGGCCAAACAAAGCCAAGAGUGGUCACUCCCUGGCAUGUGCACCCUGCCUGAUACUUCAGGGAGAACAGAGUCACAUGGGCCUACACAUCACUGUCUCUCUCCUUCACUCUGCAUCUGCCAGGACAGAUGCAAUAAGGAUGCUGGUGCAUAUUGAAGCUCUGCUCUUCCAGUGGAUCUCAGCAGAAUGCACACUGAAAUUUCUCAUAGCUGAUGUACUCUCCUCACAGCUUAGAAGCCCCACUCACAGCAUCACAUAACAGUCCAGACUGAAAGGGACCAUAAAGCCCACUCAGGCCCAACCCACUGCCAUGGCCUGGCUGCCCCCUCCAGCUCAGGCUGCCCAGGGGCCAAUCCAACCUGUCCUUGAGUGCCUCCAGGGAUGGGGCACCACAACUUCUCCGGGCAGCUGUGCCAGGGCCUCACUGCCCUCUGAGUAAGGAAUUUCAUCCUAACAUCUAACCUAAAUCAUGAGUUUUUCGGUUCAAAACUAUCACUCCUUUUCCUAUCACUAUCACUGCAAACUGUCUAAGAGUGCACUCAGCCCCACUGUCCAUGUCAAUGAGAGAUGUUCAGUAGUGCCAGUCCCAACACACACCCCUGAGGAACACCUCUUGUUACUUUUCUCCACCUGGACAUCAAGCCAUUGACCUCAGUUCUUUGAGUGAGACCAUCCGGCUGAUUUGGUCUGCAGCUGCUAGUAUUGUUUGUGUAUCCCCAGUAAGUUCACAAUCCAUACAAAAACAUUCAGACUUUGAUUAAGUCUUGCAAUGCAAAUCUAGGACAACGUUAGAUAAACUGAAUUUGCAUGUGAAAUUAAAUAGCACUAGGGACACUGUUCUGAGUUACGAAUUUUCACUUUUCAUUUAAUUAAGAACUUGUACUUUCAAAGUAACCUGAAUCUAUCACAUAAUCUCCAGUAGUACGCACCACAGUGCUGCAAGAACUGUGAACCUUUUAGCUAAACUUUAGAAUAGCAUGGCAUAAGCAUAGCAUAGUUCAGUUGGAAGAGACCUUCAGACAUCAUCUAGUCCAAGUGUCUGACCUCAUCAGGGCUAAACAAGAGUUAAGUUAAUGAAAGCAUCAUCCAAAUGCCUCUUGAACAUGGGACAUCAACCACCUCUCUAAGUAGCCUGUUCCAGUGUCUGAUUGCACUCACAGCAAAGACAUUUUUCCUGAUGUCCGGUCUAAUCCUCCCAUGGCACAGCUUGUGCUGUUCCCAUCCAGUUCCUAGGAGCAGAGCCAGGUAACUCCCUCUCCAUUCCCCUCCUCAGGGAGCUGCAGAGAGCAGUGAGGUCACCUCUUGGCCUCCCAUUCUCCAGACUAGACAACCCCAGUGUCCUCAGCCUCUGCUCACAGCACAUGCCUUACAACCCUGUUACCAGCUUUGUUGUUCUCUGGAUGCUUUCAAGGACCUCAUCAUCCGUUCCGUAUUGUGGAGCCCAGAACUGCACACAGCACUCCAGGUGAGGCCACACCAUUGCUAGAGAUACAGUGGGAUAAGCAGCUCUUUUGACCAGCUGGUCAUGCUGUGUUUAUUGCACCUCCAAGGGCAGUUUGCCCAUUUGACUGCCAGGGCACACUGCUGGCUCAUGCUGAGCCUGCUGUCACCAGCACCCCAAGGAACCUUCAUGCUGAGCUGCUCUCCAGCCACUCCUUUCCCAUCUGUGCUUGGGUCUGGCAUUGCUCUGUCCCAGGAGUAAAACUCAGCCAUUUCCUUCAUUGAACUUGAUGCCAUUGAUAAAUGCCCAGUGCUCCAAUCAACCCAGAUCCCUCUGCAAGACCUCUUGCCCCUUGAGGAAUUCAACAGCACCUUCCGGUUUAGUGUCAUCAGUAAACUUGUUAAGGAUGCACUCAACCCCUGCACCCAGAUCACUGACAAAAACAUGGAGCAUAACUGGCCCUAGACUUGCACCCUGGGAAAUAUCACUAGUGAUCAUCUGUCAGAUACAUGUAGACCCAUUCACUGUAAAUCUCUGAACUCCACUGUUGAUCCAGUUUACUCUGUAGCACAGCAUAAAUCUGUUAGUCUCACCAUUGGACAGUGUAAUGCUAUUAUGUGUUCGAAAGUAAAGCAAUAAUAGUAGAGUGGCUAUCCUAUCCUAGGCUGCAGCAAAUGAGAACAAGCCCAAAUGCAGCAGCUGUAGACAUGGAAACAAAGGAAGAAAAACUUCUUACCUUUGGAAGGUCUCAGGUAGGCAGAUACCUCCAGAGAAAUACCCUCACCUCCCCCUGCCAGCCCUUAAAUGAGGUCUGGGAAGGGGUGGAUCCUGGCUUCCUUCUGGUCACUCAGCUGCACUGCAUGCAUCAGGGCUCCCCUGGGUUGGCCCUGCCUUCCCACCAGGUGCUCAAUCACUGCUUCAAGCUGUGACUUAGCAUUUCCGCUACAGACAGUUUGUCCAGAAGGAUGCUAUGAAGGACAAAAUCAAAGGCCUUACUAAAAUCCAGAAAGAUUAUGUCCGCUGCCUUCCCUUCAUCCACAAAGCAGGUGACCUUAUCAUAGAAGGAGAUAAAAUUACUAAGGCAGGACUUUCUCUUAAUGAAUCCAUGUUGAUUAUGCCUCAUAAUAGCUUUGUUCUUCAAAUGCCUUUCAAUACCCCCAGCACAGUCUUUGUAUUCUUUCUAAAGACUGAGGUUAGACUAACAGGUCUGUGGUUUCCUGGGUCUUCUCUUGUGCCCCUUUUGUAGUUGUUUAUAACACUGGCUAGUUUCUAGUCAGCAGGGAUGUUCCCAGGCUACCAAGACCUUUGGUAAUUCAUUGAGAGGGGUCCAGCUACAACAUCCAUUAAUUCCUUUAGUCUGGAAUGAACACUAUCAAGCCUCAUGGACUUAAGAACAUUAAGCUGGUACAGAUGGUCCCUUAUGAUUUGGUGGCCACAAAUAUAUAAAUCUCUGCUCCUGUUGCAUGGAUUCUAGCAAAAUGAUUCACCAGACUUCUCUCAAAAUAAAAACUUCCACGUUACCUUGUCCUCCAGUGGACACUGCCUUCACUGUGCUCUUUCAGUGAACCUCUGGUGCCUUCCUCACUAAAUUCUUCUUACUUUUGGGAUGAGCUAAGCUGGGCCUUGAGUUCCAUACUUUUCAGAUGCCACUAUGGAAGAAAAGACAAGACAGGCGCCUGAGCGUUGUUCUGGAUUUUCCUAGACUCUAAAGUUUGUUUCUGCCUGUUUCAAACAAGAGUGAAGUAUGUGGAAGUCUCAGGUAAUAGCUCCUGAAGUCAUGAGCUACUUCCUCAGGCCCUACAUGAAGAUUAAAUGAGUUAGUCAGUGGCAAACUGCUGAGACUACAGCUCAGCUUUCUUAACUCUUUCAAGUGCUUCAUCCAUCUGUCUUCACCACCUGCCAUGGUUAAUUUUUAACAUCUGCAAAGCUGUAAUGGAAUCAUUUACAUGCUUACAACAAAACACGCACUGUUUGCUGGAUUCUGUCAAUGUUGCUUAAAUUUUACUUCUACAGCUAAACUGCAGAAAAAAGUGUCUCAGGCAAUAUAGAGAACAGGUGACACUUGAUAGCCACAGUUAUCAUAUUUGGAUUCUUUUUUUAUUGAGAACAACACUUCAAGGACAGAUGGAUUAUUACCUUUCCACAAAAGUACUCACAUUUCUGCUGAGUAACCUUCUUAUCAUCUCCUUUUAUUACUAAAUCUUAAUGAGAUAGUAAUAUAAAACAUAAUUAAUUUUAUCAUCAUUUUAAAAUUAAUGUGAUAAUCAAAGUAGAAUUCCAUCUGCAGAACCCAUUUUGGAUCUUCGGUCUUCUAAAAAUUCCCUAUAGUGCCCACCCCGCUACUGAUGAUGAUAAAUUUGGGGAUUACGUUUCUGGAUAACAGAGUGAGAAUGAUACUCUUGUCAAUAGGAUGCCAAGUAGUUAUCAGGUGGUAAAAACUAACCAAGCCCUUAUAAUCAACAGUAGAGAAUGAUGGCUUUGCAUUUAAUGGACUGGAUAGGAACUCAGUUUGUCUCUUAAGUGUACUUAGCAUCUACACAACACAUACAUCCCGUACAGUACAGGCCCGUGAGCACACACAGUCAAGAAGCAAUGGCUUAUGAGAGUGAUUGUAGCUAAUGAAUUUCACUUCACAGCUCAGGGGUACACACGUGGGCUGCUACUCACUCCUAGUGCUGAGCAGUGCUUUAUUAAAAUCCCAUGACUUGAUCACACGCAGCCCACAUGCUCAUGCCCUGUUCCUGAGUUCAGUAACCUUGGGGAACUGGGUUUGCAGCCCCAAAAUCAGAAAUUAGUUGGUAACUGCUCAGGACUUAGCAAACAGGCUGCACUGGCACACAUGAAGGAAGUGACUUUGUAAACCCUGUCACUGAUGGCCUGAAGUGAUCUUUGUUUCCCAGCUAUAGAAUACAAUCAUGAACACAGAUGACUGUGAUGACUGUAGGCUGUGAAGCCCUUUACCUGUUUCAUCUUUUGAGGCUCCAGUCCUGCAGCACACACACACACAAUUUUAUCACUGUGAGAGGAGCUGCACUAGGAAUGAGGUUGGCAAGUUCAUGCUUACAAGGUCAUGGACUAAUAAAUAUUUGGGAUGAGAUUUAUUCCCUAGUUAAUGGCCCAAACAGCGCACAGGCAGCAGAUCCUUUUUUCUCCAGUAAGAAAGCAUGUAAUAAUAAUAAUGAAGUGAAAAGUUCUAUCCUUUGUCAUUUCACAGCACUGUCAUAUUAUACAUCUAGUACAAUGUUUGGCUUUUCUGACUGGCCCUGUUAAUUUAUGAUGUAUCCAUAGGAAUGCAGACUUGGAAGACAGACUGGCCAUUUCUAAUAAGUAUUAUACAAUUAUACAGUGUCACACAAUUGCUAAACAAGAGAAAGGAAAAGAGACCUGCUUUGCAAAGCUCUGAAUUUCUAACAUGCAAUUGGCCCAAUGGGACACGGAGGUUUCAAUCAAUAGCACACCUAUUUACAUGGACUGAUGUAAUUCAGACAGGCAAAAAGAAGCAUGAAAGACUAAGUAGCUAAGGACUGCUGCCCUGUUUUUAUUUCAGUUCCUUUCCACAAGGCUGCACAGCACUAUUAUCAGGUGAGAGGCACUGAGCGGCAUUUCAUGUAUUAUUUAAGAGAAACCACAGCUGUUUUAGAUGGUAAAAGGGUGCAAUGUCAAGUGAGUAUUAUCCGUUAUUUUCACUUGAGCUGAGAAAUGUUUUAGCACCGUUUCCUCUCUACAGGGAAACCUGGCUAGUGGGUCACUUCUCACUCCUAUCACUGAGGCCUCGAGAGCUGCUUUAAUGAGUGCUAGCUCCCCGCUGAUUAUUGAUUCCAUCUGGCUCAAUGAACAGGAAUAAAUAGUUCCUAAUUUGUUGUGGCAUUGCGUAGAUGUGUUUAUUUAUUAAAGGAGAGAGCUGUGGCAGCAUGCAUCCCAUUCAGCACCAGUACCACGAGCUUGGUAUUGGCAGGAGAGAAGCAAAUCCCUGCCGCUGAGCGGCAGGCCAUGCCAGGUAGCUGGCAUGGUGAGAUGCUCACAGUUACUGCCUCUCUGCAAUGGUCAGUCUCUAGGCUCCCUCUCACACAUCUGAUCACAUCUGUCACCAAAGACAUUCCCAUGUCAAACCCUUUCGUCCCACUCAUUGAGGUCCUUGUCCCUGACACUAUAGCUGCAUUUGCAUGAACAGGAACACUCUGGUGCUGCUAUGAUCAUAUUAUCCAACAUCCCGAACUAAUUCAUGUAUAGCUGCACAGCCCUCCAGUGUGCUGGGAGACUCUGUGGUCACUUUUAUGGCCUAAAAGUCACUACUGUGUCACUACUUUGACAUCUUGACAUUGAGGGUUUGAAAUUAGUUCACAGGAAAACAAGAACAAGCUGAAACCAGUUCAAGGUUGCAGGGAGUAGUUUCCCCCAGAUUAUCAGAUUUGUCUUCAGGAAACCUGUGUUCCAGCUUAAUGUUAUUACCCGCAGGAGCAAACUCCAUACUAUAGCUAACCUGCCGAUAAAAUGAGGUCUAAGUUGUUCCUUUUUCCUUAUCUCUGCCUGCUUUAUCCAUGGACAUUUGACUGUCCAGGCCAGGGAAAGUCUCUCACUCCUUAUUCAAGCCAAAACUUUUUACUAUGAGAACAUCAUCCGCGCAGGGGCCUUCAGGAAUCUCUAUUACAGAAAUAACAACAAAUUUUAUCCAAAGGAAAAAGGCAAGAAAUUAUGUAUGGUUUUCCUGAAAGCACUAUGAUAUGCUGCAAAGACAUUUUUUGCCCUCCUGUAAUGAAACAAAAAAUGGUACAACACUGAAUCCCAAAUGUGCUCUUCUUUCAGUAAUGUAAUAUUACAGAACUCUAGCGAGGCAACUGAUGUUUCUUUCCUUUCAUUUAUUUUCUCUAAAGAUAGUUACUCAGCUCUGUGAGUUGGAACUGGAUGUUCUAUACUGAUGAUUAAAUAACCCAAUUAGUCCUAGGUUUUAAUCACUAAAUAUUCUUGUUGGAGUAUAUUUAGAAUACAUUCUUAUAAUUCCAUUGGCAAUUUCACAGACAAUGAAGAGAAGUAAGUUGGAGGAGAGGGUUUGCCUUCUGCCUAUACCCAACAGUAUUGUAUUUUCUGACAGCUGUAGGCCCUUCAUUCCCAGAAAUUACUCUACUUUGUCAUACUUACUCUAGGGAGGGAGAAGUUGUGUCAGAAAUGGAAGCAUGAAAUAGGGCACUUCAAUGGAUAGAGCAAUUCCAGGAGGGAAUUCUGCACUGAAUGAGUCAUCACCAGACCUCUAUAGUUCACUGCUUGUAUUUGUGUAUAAACAAGUGCAGACUCCAGGAAAAAAAGAUGCCUCUACUACCUCUCUAAGAGCAUGCAUAUUAAGGUCCUCAUCAGACCUCUGCUCUCACACAUGGAAGUAGCCUACUCUCAGCUGCCUUGUUCAGAAAAUCUUGUGAACAGAGGUUUGUUAGUGAGAUUCUUGACAUCGUCUACAACAAUACCUGAUGGUACCAACCCUAUUAGACUAACUUUAACUGAAUGCAAAAUAUACCACAUAAACAAGAAAGCACCCAGAAGUGCUGGGAGUCAGACACAUUUGUCUUCCUUGCCCAUUACCAAUCAAUGCCCUUGCCACGUUAUUUGGGUCAGGAAGGACAAGCUCACUCCUCUUCUUUCCCUCAUCCCCAAGUAUGGGAUCUAAGAGAAGAAAGGAGAGCAGCAAAACUUUACAGCAGUGUUUUAUGCUUACCCCAGGCACUUGCCCUGAGAGGGCAAGGUUUUCUCCCUGUGUUGAGUUACAGAGAAUUACAGUUACUGAGUUACAGGCCUGAUGCUGAGACCCAUCACACACACUGUUUGAGCUGUUACUCCAGUGCAUGAAAACUAGCGCACAAAUGCAACUUCUGAGGUGCAGAUGAACUUGUGCAAGUACUCAGUGAAGCAAUGCGAUCUUAUUUGCACAUCUGGUACAGGCCAGAGAGAAAUAAUUCAGUCGAAGCAAAAUCAGCAGGGGGUUACAAUAAUUCCUUGAUUAAAAUUUGUGAUUUUUAAACAGACGUAUCUGAUGCAAUGAGAACGAAAGGUAACACACGUUCAUUAACUCACAUAUGGAAUCUCAAAGUAAUGUCUUUCGACUCAGUAAUAAAUCAGAGCUGACAUUUAAUAAAGUCAGUCUCACAAUGUUUCUCAUUUGAUUAUGGCCACAGCGCUUCAGGAAAGCUGCUAGUUGUUUCUCAGACACUCGUGUGUAUAGAUACCAGUGACUGUAUUUUCUCUUUUUUUACCUGCAGUCUGGGCUGUUCUGUUACUUUUCCCCAGUGGUUACAUUUGACUGAAAGAAAGGAACUGCCAUCCAAGAUAUUGAGAUUUCAGAAUUCUUUCACAGUUGGGGUGAGAAUAAGACAUCUUAGAAUCACUUGCAAACAAAACACUGAGAAAUAUUUUCUUCAUACAUUUUCUUUCUUCCUUCAUAUCAAUAAAGUUGGAGCUGGUGAUUUGUACUUACAUUAUGUUAUGCAGUCAAAAUAGAAAAUAGGAAAUAGAUGCUUGGACCUUUCUGAAAUUAAACAUUGCACCUUUCUGUUAGAAAGACUUAACAAUAAUUAUCCACUGAGAAUUUGACCAAAAAUGACAUUUAUCCGUGUGAUAUUUUCAUUCUGUAGCAUCAGCAUUUUCCAGUUUAAACAAGUAACCUUUGGAAAUUUUGAACUAGCCUUAUCUGAUGCAAGUUAAGCUGUACUGUCAUUACUAUGUGGGGCUCUGUCACUUGUUCACAGGAAGCAGUACCUGCAGAACUUAUCUUUGAGUUUAGAAGACAAGAUUGUGCAUCUCAGUAUGAAGUAUUCAUGAAAGCAGAAGAGAAAUAGAUAAGGGGAAAAAAAAAAACCAACACAACACGCAUAUUCAGGCACAGCAUAACAGAAGCAGAGAGCAAUGGAACACGGAAUAAACUGUGUAUAUGAAAAUGUGGUGUCCUAUCUAUAAAAACGCUAACAACUCAUGGGACUAUUGAUAGAUAACACAAGAAGUGUAUAAGCUUUUUGUCCAGAAACUUGCUUGCCUAUGAUUUGGUGUGUGAUACACAAUGCUGUGGGCAGAUGUCUAGAGGAUUUGCUCUUUAGAGUGUUAAGGACACAAAUGUAUGGUAAUUGUAGUUUCUCUGUUGUAAUACAGUUGAACAAAAUGGUCUAAUAUCUGGGAUACCACUUCUCAGAUGUCUCUGGUACUUGCACAGAAGCCAUUUGAUUUCAUGUUUAUGGAUAUACAUAUACUUACAUAUACAUACAUAUCUAUGGCUCAUGGUGACUUUCUUGUUGAGACUGAACCACAACAGACUACCUUUCUCUGUAACUACAGCACUUGUAGCCUCAUUUGAAACCUUACAUCAAGUAUAGAAAGAUAAUAAGACAGAUUCCGCUAAACUGAUUUCUACUCAAUCACCACUGAGUAGCAGGAAUACUGUCAGCUGCACAGACUCCACUUCAGCACUGGGGAUGGAUGUGGAAGGGAUCUGCUUUCCUUCCUCUCCCCAGCCAAGAAACAGGAGGUGCAGAGAAGCUGCAUGAGGCCACAGGGUCCCCAGAGAGACUCAUAAAAUCUAAUGAACUUCCUUCUUCCCUGCUCCCUUGUCAGAAUUUCCCCUAUUGCUACUACACUUAGUGGCAUUAGGAUCUUUGAGCUACUUAGCUAUUGGCUAUUUAUAUCCUUGUUAUGAAACAUUCAAAUAAUGUUGCCAGCGUCACCUUUACAGCUCUGCCCCUGAGGUCCUUCAGCGCCCUGACACAGGAAUACCGAAGCAGAGAGUCACAAAAUAGUUGAACCCAAAUUCGGAGGUUAUCUCUGCUAACUUCAGGGUACAAUCCUACACUUACAGGCUAAGUAAGUUCCCCUGCAAGUCCUGUGCUGCAAAUUGGAUCUUAAUGUUACUCUUAUAAAAAAUAACAGUGAAAAAUGAAUGGGAAUAGCUAAAAUUCUUUUUUUUUUUUUUUCUCUGGGAAAAGAAGCACUGCAAAGAGAUGUAUGUAUAAAUCUAAACACAGGGAAUAAUGUAUUAAAAUGUCAGUACGACUUUUCCUAACAUUAAAUGUGUAUCAGGUAUCUUUUCAAGGAUACUCACUUCAAAGGGCUGUAUGAGUUUGACUCACACUUCUGUUUUUCUAGUUUUAUGCCAUUCAUAUCAAAAUACACUAAAAAUGUAAUAAAACUUUGCAGCUAAAGAAGUAUAAACACAUCCAAGGAGCAUAUGUAUAUGUUUCUAUUAAUGACUUACUUAUGUGGUGCCACAUUUAUUAUAUUCAGGAUCAAAAUAUUCUCCUGCUCUUUUUUUCCCCCCAGAAUGCAUCCUACAUUGCUCUUCACUCAGCCCCUGCUGAAGAGAGGCAUCCCUGACCAAAGCACUCAUGGCCACAGAUAGGAAAAUGACAAAUUACAUGUCAGGUCAUUUGGGGGCAAUCACCGCUUCCUCUGAACCAGAAGAAUGAAAGAAUAGUACCACAUGGAAAGUUGUGAUCUCCUAGAAAGAAUAAGCAGCAAACUGGAUGUACUGAGCACGCAGCCUCUCUCACCUUCACGUACACAAACUGUAGCAGAACUGAGCAGAUGAAAUAAAUGAUCUUAAAAAGACAAACUAGGCAAGAACUUAUUUUGCUGGAACUUGAUGAGUGUGCAGAAGAAAUUGGUAUGGGAACUAAAAAUUGUUCCUAUUGAUAAGGUAAGAACAUAUAAUUUCUGUAGAAGAAACACUUAAAAAGAGACCUUUUUUUGGUAAAGUAUGAUGUAAGUCUGCAAGUCUAUCUCCCAGGGAAAAAACCAACCAUAUCCAAAGCCCACUUAGGGCUUCUGCUGGUGACCAGCCCUAGCUAGGUCUCUAGCACUGAUUCCGGUUACAGGUGAAGAUUAAUUGAACCUUUUUGUUUAGCUUUUUUUGUUUUGUUUUGUUUUGUUUUGUUUUGUUUUUUUCAAUCUUACUUUGGGGAUAAAACUUUGGAUAGUCAUGGAUAAAAUAAAAGCCAGAAAACAAUCUUACAUGUUCAUGUAAGUACAUGUAGCCUUAAAUACCUGAGUCCAGUAUUUCCUGUUCAAAGAAUUCUGGAUAUAGCUCCCUCUGCAAAACAAAAUACAGAACAAACUUUAAGUCAUUGGUGACAAAUACAGAUGAAUUUAUCUGUGCCACGCUGGGCACUCCUCAGUCCAGUUAGCUGUACUAUGGCAGAAAUGGCACAACCAUUACCAUUUUACAUUUAUCCAUUCAGUGGAGUCAGUGCCUAAACUCAAUUCCCUGAGAUCAUCUCCACAUUGUCAAAAAGGUUUCUGACUGGCUGCUUUUCUAUGCAGGGUUGUCGUGCCAGGCCACUGCUCUAGUUAACUACUGAUAGAAGAAUCAAUUACUGAUAGAAGACACCAUUGCUAUCCAUUCUCCCUUGCCUUUAGGAGCACUUUUUGUUUCCUUUUAAAGUAGGUACUGUAACUAUUCCUCAGAAUCUUUCAAUAAGAAUGAUCACCAGACAGCUUUAGUGCUGCACGUGCUUUAGUCAUGCAAGACUUUUCUCAUUCUGCUCUGGAAUUUUCAUCACAUUCAUCUCAACAGAAGAUGAGAACAUGGUUUCCUGACUGCUUUGCAGUAACGCCUAGCACUGAAAACACAUAUGCUUCCCGACUGCCAGAUAAAAAGAGGCAGAAUGUCCUGUUUAACACUACCUCACCAGAAACACAGGUUGGACAAGCCUUCCUGAUUCACUUUUGUUCACAACUGUUAUUGCAGUAUUUUUAAAGACUUUCCUUAUCCCAUGGACAAACUGCAUUUUUAGAAUUAUUUUUAACAAAUUAUUGUUCCAGAAUUGCUUCUUGUGAAAAGAUGGUGAACAGUUUGAAAGAGCGCAGGAUCUUUGUGAGCUCCUGCAUGACUGUCUGGCAGCAGGACUUCCUAUCCACUAGGAAUUUGAUUAAAGUAAGACUCAUCAAUUUAAACAGUCAAAUUCCCCAGCUGCCCAUGCUAAAGACAAAAGGGGAUCCAAUUAAUUAAUCACAGCCUGAAGGAGCAUAAUUAAUUAUAAGUUUUACCAAUACCAACUUCCUGACUGUAAGAGAGCUUGGAACACAGAUGUCUAACCAAGAAAACAGCUCUGUGAAUCUGAUUGUUUCCCUUGUUCUUUAAGUGAUGGUAAGAGGAAGGAAAAAGAAAGCUAAACCAGUGUAUUUGAUUAAUGUAGUUGACAAAUCUGCCAAAAACAAACAACCAACAGCAACAGCAAAAACCAAAACAGCAGUAGGGAAUGUUCUUUGAAAUUGCUUCUGGCUUCAAAUGUAAAUACACCUUUCCUUCUAACCUGAUUUUGUUAUGCAAUUUACGGCAGUGACACCAGUUAGUCAGAGAAAUGAAGAGCUGCAAAGGACUUCAAGAGGUCACCUAGACUGUCCUCUUCAAUCUAGGACAGAAUUAAUUCCAUCUGGAUGCACAGACAUUUUUAAACACAUUUUUGAAGCUUGUGUCACCAGAUAUUCUACCACUUUCCUGCAUUUCCUACCGGUAUCAAAAGAAUAUUUUCCUAAUACUUAACCUCAUUUUCUGUGCUGUAAGUUAAGCCAAUUAUUACUUACCCUGCCUUUGAGGAAGAGGAACAGAUUAGCAAGCCACGUUUUUACUGAACAGCAAAUUCCAACCUCCAAAAUCCCAAGCCAGAGCAAAAAGCCAAAAUGCCAUCAUUUUCCUCAAAAUAGAACUGUCUUACCUCAAAUUAAGUUGAUCAAAUAGAUUUGAAGAACAUCUAAUCAUUUGUCUAAUUGUCUUUUCAUAUGAUCACCUAAACAAAGAAUCUGCAUGUAAUCAUUCAAAGAGGAUCUUUUAACACUAUCAGAAUGGAAGAAGAAAGCUGAAAUGUUGUUUCUUCUUUCAUGCUAGUGAGAAUUUACAUGCCUAUGACUUGUUUGGCUUUCAAAUAAAUUUAAAUAAAGGUUUUUUUAACCAA
Molecule: long non-coding RNA, 19102 nt
Filed under: Gallus gallus (chicken)
Lineage: Eukaryota; Metazoa; Chordata; Aves; Galliformes; Phasianidae
Description: lncRNA (ENSGALG00010004915.1)
Source: RNAcentral